Molecule: non-coding RNA, 90 nt
Organism: Corynascus novoguineensis
Lineage: Eukaryota; Fungi; Ascomycota; Sordariomycetes; Sordariales; Chaetomiaceae
Source: the annotation of a GenBank genome assembly
GGGCGUGUGGCUCAGUUGGUAGAGCGUUCGCUUAGCAUACGAUAUCCACCUGUAUGCGAAAGGUCCUGGGUUCGAUUCCCAGCUCGUCCA